Molecule: ribosomal RNA, 408 nt
Filed under: uncultured bacterium
Lineage: Bacteria
Description: partial 16S ribosomal RNA
Rfam family: Bacterial small subunit ribosomal RNA
Source: RNAcentral
GACGAACGCUGGCGGCGUGCUUAACACAUGCAAGUCGAACGAAGUGGCGAAAGGGAGAGUAAUACGAGAGUAACCUGCCCUCCUUUUUGGGAUAAGACUGGGAAACGGGGUCUAAUACGGAAUAAAGGGGGUUGGGCACGCGGCCUAUCAGCUGGUUGGUGGGGUGAUGGCCUACAAAGGCGGUGACGGGUAGACGGCCUGCGAGGGUGACCGGCCAAAGGGGGACUGAGAUACGGCCCAUGCUCCUGCGGGAGGCAGCAGUUGGGGAUAUUGCGCGAUGGGCGUAGGCCUGAUGCAGCGGCGUCGCGUGGGGGAUUACGGCUUUCAGGUUGUAAACCUCUUUCGCGAUCGAACGGGUAGGUGGAGAAGAAGCGCCGGCUAACUACGUGCCAGCAGCCGCGGUAAUAC